GCAGGAUUUGAGAUGAUGAGGAAGCUUUUCAUAACUAGAUCUGAAAGCCGCUAAAGAAGAAGUCUUACCUUUAUCUUUGUCUUGUUCAAUUCUGCAGCUUGGAAUAACAUGAGUUUGAGUUGUUCCACCGGGCAUCUCACCAUAAAACUCUUCAAUUGUACCAUCGGAACUACGAUUGUAGAAAAAGAAAGGCAUGAUGGGCUAUUAUCAGAUCAAAAUGAAGAACAAGUGUUGUAAGAUGAGAGAGUAAGGAUGAUCAUAUCAAGCCUCGUCUUGAGGUAGUUGGUUGGUAAGGGGUGCUUU
Molecule: unclassified non-coding RNA, 303 nt
Filed under: Hevea brasiliensis (rubber tree)
Lineage: Eukaryota; Viridiplantae; Streptophyta; Magnoliopsida; Malpighiales; Euphorbiaceae
Source: RNAcentral